Molecule: ribosomal RNA, 482 nt
Filed under: uncultured bacterium
Lineage: Bacteria
Description: partial 16S ribosomal RNA
Rfam family: Bacterial small subunit ribosomal RNA
Source: RNAcentral
AUUGAACGCUGGCGGCAUGAUUUACACAUGCAAGUCGAACGGUAACAGGCCGCAAGGUGCUGACGAGUGGCGCACGGGUGAGUAAUGCAUCGGAACGUGCCCAGUCGUGGGGGAUAACUACUCGAAAGAGUAGCUAAUACCGCAUACGAUCUAUGGAUGAAAGCGGGGGACCGUAAGGCCUCGCGCGAUUGGAGCGGCCGAUGUCAGAUUAGGUAGUUGGUGGGGUAAAGGCUCACCAAGCCAACGAUCUGUAGCUGGUCUGAGAGGACGACCAGCCACACUGGGACUGAGACACGGCCCAGACUCCUACGGGAGGCAGCAGUGGGGAAUUUUGGACAAUGGGCGCAAGCCUGAUCCAGCAAUGCCGCGUGCAGGAAGAAGGCCUUCGGGUUGUAAACUGCUUUUGUACUGAACGAAACGGCUCUGGUUAAUACCCGGGGCUAAUGACGGUACCGUAAGAAUAAGCACCGGCUAACUACGUG